GAACUAUUCUGUUUGAUUCAACGGAUUACAUUUAUGUUGGGAGAAGGCUCCUUGUGUUGCAGACAUACUGAAGUUACCAACAGCCCUGCUCUAAAACCUCUGACCUGACGGUUUGUUCAGUGUAUGGAGCAGAAAAUCAUUGUUGGCAGCUGAUGUAUGUGACCCGACAUUGGAGGAUGAUUCUAUUGUAAAUACCUUUAAGGUGCUUCAAGUCUCUCACUUUUGCCACAGCAGACUAACACAGCCACUCUUCUGCUUUUUCAAGCUCCACUUGAACACAGAUGAAUAAACAUACAUGAAGCUGCCUUCUAUUGAACCAAAUCUUUGGCUCAUUAAGGUAACGAUCACCUACUCAGACUGACAGUAGCUCUGCAGGGUCUCAGGCAGAGGACAUCCACAUCACCCGCUGACUGGUCUUCUCAAGUGAAAAUGCCAGGGGUUGGACCUGGGUCCUUCUGCAUGUCAAGUUAAUGGUCUAUCACUGAGCCGAGGCCUACACACUACUUUCUUCUGCAACAUAAAACCAUCAGU
Molecule: long non-coding RNA, 531 nt
Organism: Sphaerodactylus townsendi
Lineage: Eukaryota; Metazoa; Chordata; Lepidosauria; Squamata; Sphaerodactylidae
Exons: 3
Source: RefSeq, a predicted model, not a curated record